GACCUCAAAUCAGGUAGGAUUACCCGCUGAACUUAAGCAUAUC
Molecule: ribosomal RNA, 43 nt
Filed under: Hypsizygus marmoreus
Lineage: Eukaryota; Fungi; Basidiomycota; Agaricomycetes; Agaricales; Lyophyllaceae
Also listed under: 2 other names
Description: partial 28S ribosomal RNA
Source: RNAcentral